Molecule: long non-coding RNA, 1175 nt
Organism: Herpailurus yagouaroundi (jaguarundi)
Lineage: Eukaryota; Metazoa; Chordata; Mammalia; Carnivora; Felidae
Exons: 4
Source: RefSeq, a predicted model, not a curated record
AUCUCGGGCCACCCGCGGGGCGGGCGACGAUAUCGUCCUUGUGGGCAGGCUGGCUGGCGUGUCGGGUUUCGGGGAGUAUGGCGGGGAACCGGAGUAGAGGAAUGUAAGCGUUUGAAAGCAGAAUGCCUUUGCUUCCAUGAUCUGAUCAGAGAUUAUGAAGAUACAGUUCCUCCCUUUGGUUUGCAUACAGUUAAGUUGAGCAGAUACAGGUCAAUGGUCAGUGUGCCACUUAAGUAUUCAAGAAGAGAUAUAUCAGCAGGUUGCAGCUGAACAUGGCCUUGAGGUAAAUCCUGCCCCUGUUGAAAUUUGAUUUCAGCAGAUUAUUCAUGGUAAUUUAGGAACUGGAAUAUUUUACAGAAAAAAAAAAAAGUUUCGUUUGGUUCUGUUCUAUUUUUUCUUCUCCUAGAAGAACCAUGUUUAAACAAAACUUCACUAUGCUGAAGAACUGUGAUGCUUUAAGUUGGUCAUCUGCCUCAUUUUAAACCCCCGCUCCCUCUCCCGAUGCGCUGAAAGUGCCAGGUUUAUGUGUAGGCCGCUGCGGGACGUGAAGUGCGUAGUGGAGCGUUCCAUUUUGCCCAGUCUUGCCAUCAAGCCGCAGGUGCCCUUCUGUUCCUUCAGACUGCCUCCCCUCCAGGUUUUCUCCGUCUCCCUGCCGUACGUCCUUUGCUGUGGUUUGGAAAGAGCCCCACCGUCCCUCGCACGGAGAGCAGAGAGCCCGACAAUGGUGGUUGGAUGAGGAAGAUAACUAAUUUAUUCAGUAUUUGGUGUGUACCGUUUGUUACACGUUAGUCCUUAGGGACCGAAUGAUGAACAAGACAGACACUGUCCCUGCCUUCAUGGAAGGGCGCACGGUAGAGGUCAUUUCAAAGUUUGGGGUAAGUUCUGUGAACGAGGGGAACAGGUGUGACAGCGUGCUCAGUGCCAGAAACCGCAUCACAGUGCCAUUAACUCCCGGGAAAACAGAAGGCGCGUGGCUUCCCUGGUUCUCUGUGGACAGCCUCUUGCCUUCUGGAGUCUGUUCCUGGCUGACUCGCAAGAUGUCCCGGGUGUGCCACGGCCACUAGUACUUAUGUAUCUCUUCCCUCCCUUGCCCCUGCCCCCACGCUCUAUAGGCCUUGGACUUUCAGAUACUUUGCAUAUAAACAAACAGACCGAUACAGUUUGACCACCUGAAA